This 253-nucleotide ribosomal RNA is filed under the name uncultured bacterium. RNAcentral describes it as "partial 16S ribosomal RNA". It matches the Rfam family "Bacterial small subunit ribosomal RNA", at positions 524 to 776 of the family's 1533-position model. The record is from RNAcentral.
GACGUAGGGCGCGAGCGUUGUCCGGAUUUAUUGGGCGGAAAGAGCUCGUAGGCGGCUUGUCGCGUCGGUUGUGAAAGCCCGGGGCUUAACCCCGGGUCUGCAGUCGAUACGGGCAGGCUAGAGUUCGGUAGGGGAGACUGGAAUUCCUAGUGUAGGGGUGAAAUCCGUAGAUAUUAGGAGGAAUACCGGUGGCGAAAGCGACUGUCUGGCUGGUUACUGACGCUGUUGCACGAAAGCGUGGGGAGCAAACAGG